AUUGAACGCUGGCGGCAUGCUUUACACAUGCAAGUCGAACGGUAACAGGUCUUCGGAUGCUGACGAGUGGCGAACGGGUGAGUAAUGUAUCGGAACGUGCCCAGUAGUGGGGGAUAACUACUCGAAAGAGUGGCUAAUACCGCAUGAGAACUGAGGUUGAAAGCGGGGGACCUUCGGGCCUCGCGCUACUGGAGCGGCCGAUAUCAGAUUAGGUAGUUGGUGGGGUAAAGGCCUACCAAGCCGACGAUCUGUAGCUGGUCUGAGAGGACGACCAGCCACACUGGGACUGAGACACGGCCCAGACUCCUACGGGAGGCAGCAGUGGGGAAUUUUGGACAAUGGACGCAAGUCUGAUCCAGCAAUGCCGCGUGCAGGACGAAGGCCUUCGGGUUGUAAACUGCUUUUGUACAGAACGAAAGGGCUCUGGUUAAUACCUGGGGCAGAUGACGGUACUGUAAGAAUAAGCACCGGCUAACUACGUG
RNAcentral lists this ribosomal RNA (482 nucleotides) under uncultured Allobrachymonas sp. Its description in RNAcentral is "bacterial SSU rRNA". It matches the Rfam family "Bacterial small subunit ribosomal RNA", at positions 30 to 507 of the family's 1533-position model. The record is from RNAcentral. Lineage: Bacteria; Pseudomonadati; Pseudomonadota; Betaproteobacteria; Burkholderiales; Comamonadaceae.